UCUGCCCCUAGAGUCAUUGCGGGUGUGGCUGCUGUGUCACAUGUACAUCAGUAGGUGGAAGAGAGGAGAGAGACUAUAUCUAUGUUCAGUGUUCUGACCUAUGAACAUCUGAGUGAUUAGCAGCUUAACAUU
Small nucleolar RNA from Mastomys coucha (southern multimammate mouse), 132 nucleotides. RefSeq annotates it as small nucleolar RNA SNORA17. NCBI's taxonomy places the organism in Eukaryota, Metazoa, Chordata, Mammalia, Rodentia, Muridae. The transcript has a single exon. The record is from RefSeq and is a predicted model, not a curated record.